AUUAUGCCUCUGGCUUGUAUAGUCAUUUUUUUACAUAAAUAAUAUUUUAGUAUUUAAAACAUUAUUUGAAUUAAUUUUUACGAUGCAAUUUAAUUUUUAUAUAUAAGAUUAAAAAGGCUUUAUCCGUACUGCAGAAUCAUCAUAGAUUUUAUCUUCCAUCGAUACUUCGUUCUUGCUGGAAUUUUUCCAGUACUUCUGAAUUGAUUGUAAUUUUUAUACGGUCCACGACUUUUUUUUACAAUUGCUCUUUUUGUUAAACUCAUUUUAAAAAAUGAUUGUACCAUACUUGAAAAAAAUAAUUAUGUGAUACAUAUAUGUUUGAGUUAUCAAAUAUAAAAUAAACAAAUGAGUAUUCAUUGCUAUAUUAACUUUGUUUAUUUAUCUAUAAUAUAUCUUGAUAAAAAAAGUUUUUUACUUUCAUUAAAUACUUCUAAAUAAAGUAUUGAUUGAUCGUAGUAAUACUUCCUAAAAUAUUUCUUAACUUUCGUGUAUCAUUUAAUCAAAGUCUCUUUAUUAUUUAACUCGUUUAUUAUAUAAGUUUAUGAUAAUCGUUUGUGCCAAAUUAUCUUCUUCGAAAUGUUGAAAAAUGACAAGAAACAGUUAUAUGCACUCGUGCAAUGGAUAGGGGGGAAUCAUGAUAAGACUUAUACUCCUGGUAUCCCGAUCGAAUGGAUCAUGGAUUUCGAUUUACAGCGCUAUUUGACAGAAAAAGAAAAUUUAGAAGAAAGCUAUAUUGUUCAGUGGCGACGAGGAAAUAUAGAAACAUGGAAAAAUUAUGAUGCCUAUGUAAUCGAGGUCUCGCAUUCCUGUAAAAAUUUAGAAAGAGAAAUAGUAAGAUUGGAAGGGAUAGUUUCUCCACUGAAAGUUAAAAGAAAUGGUCAAAAUAAUUUCGUUCCUAAACGAGCCAAAACAUCUACUAUUGACAGUACUAAUAAAAGAACUCUUGAAAAUGAUUACCAUACAGAAUCAGAAAUUAUAUCGAUAAUUUGUAUCAUGAAUUCGAAAACUAGAUCAUCAACUAUUAUUAUAUUAAUACAUACCCUGAUUCAGAAAUGUAAUUUCGAAUGAUUCAAUACAUGUUGGAGUGUAUACCUAUAUAUAGUCAAUUUUGCCCACUUUGAAUUGUUUUGGAUCGUGUUUGAAUUAUUCCAAAUUAGAUUUCUGAAUCAGGGUAAUUAUUUGUAAUUUAUUAGCCGAUUCAAGUUCAUACAAAAAAGCCUAAAAUUGUUAAAGAAAAUCGAAAGAAAGAUUGUUCCUCUGUUAAAAGAAACAACAAUAGUUACGAUAAAAGCAGUAGCAGUGAUAACCAUGAUAUUUUCAUUGAAGAUGAUGAUAAUGACACGGAUUUUAUUACGACGAGCAAUAAAGUUUUGAAAGAUAACCAACAGAUUAAAGAUGGUCUAAAUUUAUUAUUUAAUGAAAUACAGGAAAUUAAAGUUGCUCAGAAUGAACUAAAACGAGAUUAUGGCAAAGCAAGAAAUCCAAAUAAUGCUGAGAAUGAACAAGUGGAAAUUGGUUAUCCAGGUAGUAAUGUUCAUGUUACACGCCAACAGUAUGAAACUGCAAAUAGUCGCGACAAUUUUAGCAAAAUGACGAUUUCUCUUAUCAACGCCUUAUUUUCAAAAGAGACCCUCAUUCAAAGUAAUUGCUACGGUGGAAAGAGUAGAAUUCAAAAAGAUGCUCCAACUUGACCUGGAUUAAAUCCAAUAAUUAUUGAUGCCGUGAAUGGUACUAAUAUCACGUCCAAAGUAUGGAUUUAUGUAAGAAUCUAUAGGAAUUAAUGCUGGAGUUUAUGGAUUUAUAUAAGAAUCCAUGUAGGAAACCAUGGGUACCUCGAUCCCCAUAUGAGAAUCCAUGUAGAAAACUAUGUGCAUCUGAUAUCCCAUGUGGAAACCGUAUAGGAAACUAGAAACUGUCAAAAACAAGUUUCCUCGUGAAUACAAGCGUGGUUUAUUUGGGAUGGCCAUAAAUAAUUAUUUGAAUGAUUUGCGUCGUUUGCAAAAGCAGUCCAAUAUUAUUGACGAUGGUGAUAAUGUUAAUGAUAAUAAGAGUAAUGAUGGAGACUCUUCAUAAAACUAUUUAUAAUUAUUUAAUAUUCCACUGUUACAAUGUUAUUAUAAUUAUAAUUUCUGAUCUGAGUUCUUAAAAAAAAUAAAAACAAAAAAAAA
Molecule: long non-coding RNA, 2168 nt
Organism: Microplitis demolitor
Lineage: Eukaryota; Metazoa; Arthropoda; Insecta; Hymenoptera; Braconidae
Exons: 5
Source: RefSeq, a predicted model, not a curated record